This 358-nucleotide ribosomal RNA is filed under the name Lacconectus peguensis. RNAcentral describes it as "partial 12S ribosomal RNA". The record is from RNAcentral. Lineage: Eukaryota; Metazoa; Arthropoda; Insecta; Coleoptera; Dytiscidae.
AUUAUUUAAAAUGUAAAUUAUUAUACUUAAGUAGUAUUAGUUAUGUUCUUUAAAUUUAAAGAUUUUGGCGGUAUUUUAGUCUAUUCAGAGGAACCUGUUCUGUAAUUGAUAUUCCACGAUUAAUUAUACUUAAUUUAUAUAUUUGUAUAUCGUCGUUUUUAGAAAUUUUAUUAGAAUUUAAAUUUUUAAGAUUUUAUAUAAGAAAAUAAUUCAGAUCAAGGUGCAGUUAAUAAUUAUGAAGAAAUGGGUUACAAUAAAUUUAUUUAUGAUGGAAUUUUUUUAUGAAAAGUAGUUAUGAAGGAGGAUUUGAUAGUAAAAAUAUUUAAUUUAAUUUUUUGAUUUUAGCUCUAAAAUAUGU